This 404-nucleotide ribosomal RNA is filed under the name uncultured bacterium. RNAcentral describes it as "bacterial SSU rRNA". It matches the Rfam family "Bacterial small subunit ribosomal RNA", at positions 917 to 1322 of the family's 1533-position model. The record is from RNAcentral.
GGGCCCGCACAAGCGGUGGAGUAUGUGGUUUAAUUCGAUGCAACGCGAAGAACCUUACCAGGGUUUGACAUCCUGCGAAUCUCUUGGAAACGAGAGAGUGCCUUCGGGAACGCAGUGACAGGUGGUGCAUGGCUGUCGUCAGCUCGUGUCGUGAGAUGUUGGGUUAAGUCCCGCAACGAGCGCAACCCACGUCGUUAGUUGCCAGCAUUUAGUUGGGCACUCUAGCGAGACCGCCGGUGAUAAACCGGAGGAAGGUGUGGAUGACGUCAAGUCAUCAUGCCCCUUACAUCCUGGGCUACACACGUACUACAAUGCUACGGACAAAGGGCAGCAAACUCGCGAGAGCUAGCAAAUCCCAUAAACUCGAUCUCAGUUCGGAUUGUACUCUGCAACUCGAGUACAUG